This 1361-nucleotide ribosomal RNA is filed under the name uncultured bacterium. Its description in RNAcentral is "bacterial SSU rRNA". It matches the Rfam family "Bacterial small subunit ribosomal RNA", at positions 28 to 1381 of the family's 1533-position model. The record is from RNAcentral.
AUUGAACGCUGGCGGCAGGCCUAACACAUGCAAGUCGAGCGGUAGCACAGAGAGCUUGCUCUCGGGUGACGAGCGGCGGACGGGUGAGUAAUGUCUGGGAAACUGCCUGAUGGAGGGGGAUAACUACUGGAAACGGUAGCUAAUACCGCAUAACGUCGCAAGACCAAAGUGGGGGACCUUCGGGCCUCAUGCCAUCAGAUGUGCCCAGAUGGGAUUAGCUAGUAGGUGGGGUAACGGCUCACCUAGGCGACGAUCCCUAGCUGGUCUGAGAGGAUGACCAGCCACACUGGAACUGAGACACGGUCCAGACUCCUACGGGAGGCAGCAGUGGGGAAUAUUGCACAAUGGGCGCAAGCCUGAUGCAGCCAUGCCGCGUGUGUGAAGAAGGCCUUCGGGUUGUAAAGCACUUUCAGCGGGGAAGAAGGCGGUGAGGUUAAUAACCUUGUCGAUUGACGUUACCCGCAGAAUAAGCACCGGCUAACUCCGUGCCAGCAGCCCGCGGUAAUACGGAGGGUGCAAGCGUUAAUCGGAAUUACUGGGCGUAAAGCGCACGCAGGCGGUCUGUCAGUCGGAUGUGAAAUCCCCGGGCUCAACCUGGGAACUGCAUUCGAAACUGGCAGGCUAGAGUCUUGUAGAGGGGGGUAGAAUUCCAGGUGUAGCGGUGAAAUGCGUAGAGAUCUGGAGGAAUACCGGUGGCGAAGGCGGCCCCCUGGACAAAGACUGACGCUCAGGUGCGAAAGCGUGGGGAGCAAACAGGAUUAGAUACCCUGGUAGUCCACGCCGUAAACGAUGUCGAUUUGGAGGUUGUGCCCUUGAGGCGUGGCUUCCGGAGCUAACGCGUUAAAUCGACCGCCUGGGGAGUACGGCCGCAAGGUUAAAACUCAAAUGAAUUGACGGGGGCCCGCACAAGCGGUGGAGCAUGUGGUUUAAUUCGAUGCAACGCGAAGAACCUUACCUGGUCUUGACAUCCACAGAACUUUCCAGAGAUGGAUUGGUGCCUUCGGGAACUGUGAGACAGGUGCUGCAUGGCUGUCGUCAGCUCGUGUUGUGAAAUGUUGGGUUAAGUCCCGCAACGAGCGCAACCCUUAUCCUUUGUUGCCAGCGGUUAGGCCGGGAACUCAAAGGAGACUGCCAGUGAUAAACUGGAGGAAGGUGGGGAUGACGUCAAGUCAUCAUGGCCCUUACGACCAGGGCUACACACGUGCUACAAUGGCAUAUACAAAGAGAAGCGACCUCGCGAGAGCAAGCGGACCUCAUAAAGUAUGUCGUAGUCCGGAUUGGAGUCUGCAACUCGACUCCAUGAAGUCGGAAUCGCUAGUAAUCGUAGAUCAGAAUGCUACGGUGAAUACGUUCCCGGGCCU